RNAcentral lists this long non-coding RNA (240 nucleotides) under Manihot esculenta (cassava). RNAcentral's name for it is "long non-coding RNA (MESC_LNC010794)". The record is from RNAcentral. Lineage: Eukaryota; Viridiplantae; Streptophyta; Magnoliopsida; Malpighiales; Euphorbiaceae.
AAAAUUUCAGAAUGUUCAUCAAUCAUCAAUCAAUCUCAUCAAUCACAAAAAAAACUUCUAUUUCCAUACCACAUCUCCCCCACACUUACUCCUCACAUUGUCCUCAAUGUGGAAAAAAUUCAAUCAAAUGGGGAAGUCCACAAAAUAAAAUAAAAGUAAGUUAAAAAAAAACUUCCCUGAGGAGUAAGUCCAUAGAACUCAAGCUGGUGGUGGGUUGCAUCUGGCAAGGAAGUGGAUGGC